This 313-nucleotide unclassified non-coding RNA is filed under the name plant metagenome. Its description in RNAcentral is "partial contains 5.8S ribosomal RNA, internal transcribed spacer 2, and large subunit ribosomal RNA". The stretch from base 1 to 104 matches the Rfam family "5.8S ribosomal RNA", at positions 51 to 154 of the family's 154-position model. The record is from RNAcentral.
AAAUGCGAUAAUUAAUGUGAAUUGCAGAAUUCAGUGAAUCAUCGAGUCUUUGAACGCCCAUUGCGCCCCCUGGUAUUCCGGGGGGCAUGCCUGUCCGAGCGUCAUUGCUGCCCUCAAGCACGGCUUGUGUGUUGGGCUUCCGUCCCUGGCAACGGGGACGGGCCCAAAAGGCAGUGGCGGCACCAUGUCUGGUCCUCGAGCGUAUGGGGCUUUGUCACCCGCUCCCGUAGGUCCAGCUGGCAGCUAGCCUCGCAACCAAUCUUUUUAACCAGGUUGACCUCGGAUCAGGUAGGGAUACCCGCUGAACUUAAGC